Long non-coding RNA from Juglans regia (Persian walnut), 774 nucleotides. RefSeq lists it as uncharacterized. The transcript has 4 exons. The record is from RefSeq and is a predicted model, not a curated record. Lineage: Eukaryota; Viridiplantae; Streptophyta; Magnoliopsida; Fagales; Juglandaceae.
GACUCCUCUGCCCUAAGGGAGGCCCUGCACUGCGAUUUUGAAGACCGUUCAAACGAAGGCCGAGCUCCUCGCAGAUUCAAGCCCUCAAUCCACCAACGCGAAGCCCAGAGCUGCGAGAGGGGUGAAGCUUUUUCAUUUGUCUUUCCUUUGACAGAAUCACCAUGGCAUCUUCUCAAUCAUCAUCUUUAGAUAAUGAUUUUGUCAUGGAGUCACCAACUUGUUGGUGUGGUUUGAAAACGCCACUAAAGACGUCCUACACUAAGAAAAAUCCUGGAAGGAGAUUUUUUGCCUGUCCCAAAUAUAAUACGGGAGAUGCGAGGUGUGAAUUCUUCGUAUGGGCGGAUAUUUUUGAGUUGUUAGUGGAGAACAUGUUAUUAAAACAUAACUCGCGGCGUAAUACAUGGGAUGAUGUAUUACGCCGCGAGUAUGCCGUUCGGAAAAGGGAAGAAAAAGUGAGAGAGAUAGCGAAGAAUCUGAAAAAGGAAAAGCGAAAGUUAUUGUGUUUGUACUGGAUUAUCACCUUUGUAAUAUUGUUUACAUGGUUUGGAUAAAUGUAAUGUAAGAAGCACGUUGUGUAAAAUUAUGUAAUUUUUGAAUAGAAACAGCUUCUCCUUUAAAGGUUGAAAGUGCAUGAAUGGUUUGGGGACUGCUUAGGGACAGUCUCCUUCGACCACUAGUAUAGGGCUUAAAAUGCCCCCAAAAUUUCUGUAAUUGGGAACUGGAUUGACUUUGAACCAGAAUACACUUUCUUAUUUUGCAUGACAAGAAACAAAA